Molecule: long non-coding RNA, 2322 nt
Organism: Anolis carolinensis (green anole)
Lineage: Eukaryota; Metazoa; Chordata; Lepidosauria; Squamata; Anolidae
Source: Ensembl
CUAAUUAUUAAGGGGCGCUUUGCUAGUGCUUUUGGUGCACAAAGGCAGAAGGGGGUUGGACUAAAUGGCCCAAGGAGUCUCUUCCAACCCUCAUUAUUAUUUAUUAUUAUUAUUAUUAUUAUUGACACAAAGCCACACUGUAUAACACAGCAAACGAGAUGUAUAUGCUGGAUUUCAUAUCACAAAAUCACAAGUCAAACACUUCCCAAGUGUUUAGGACUGUGUGAUGUGUUGGUGUUGUUGUUGUUAUUAUUAACAUUGAGGCUGGGUGGCCAUCUGUCAGGGGUGCUUUACUUGCACUUUUGGUGCACAAAGGUGGAAGGGGGUUGGACUAAAUGGCCCAAGGGGUGUCUUCCAACCAUCUUUAUUAUUUUUAUUAUGAUUAUUAGUAACAUUGAGGCUGUAUUUGUUCCCGUUUUGUUUUUGUUUGUUUUUUUACUUCAAAAUAAGAUAUGUGCAGUGUGCAUAGGAAUUUGUUCGUAUUUUUUUUCAAAUGAUCAUUCGGCCCCUCAACAGUCUGAAGGAUUGUGGACCGGCCCUCUGCUUAAAAAGUUUGGGGACCCCUGCCAUAAAUAAUAAAACUUUUUAAAGGACAUGUUUUUAAAAGUAUUACAAAUAACCACAAUAAUAAUGUACUAGUUUGGUGUAAUAUUACAUACAUUACAUUUUAAUUUCUUGUCCCUCUGUUCCUGGGCUAAUAUACAGAGCAAAAAAAAUAUUCACAUCUGUAAUAGUAAAGUAUUAGCUUUAGCAAAUCAGGCUGUUUCACAAACAGCUACCUCCGUUGUUUCUAAAUGGAUCACGUAUAAUUACUUUACAUUAAGGAACUGUGUGUUUACCAUUUGUCUAUGUCAGUCCUAAAUGCUUUACACUAUAUAAGGAAAAAAACAGCUCAUCAAUUCUAAAGAUUCACACACACACAAGGUAUUUCCUGAACGUGAUACAAGGAGCUCAAGUUGUAAGACCAGGCAUGGAGCAAACUUUGGGCCUCCAGCAGGUUGUUAGGAUUUGUGGAAGUUGAAGUCCAAAACACCUGGAGGGCCGAAAUUUGCCCAUGCCUGUGGAAGACCAUCUAUAUUUGCCACAAUAAAGCUUAGGGAUUAGUUACUCCACAUGGUUAUAAUGGCUCUUGGGUUCUGUUACCAGGUUUCAUGACCUCAACCACUGGGCAACCAAUGCUGUGAUUAGCAAAAGUGUUUUUCAUUGUUGUUAUUAUUUUUUUAGUUCUUCCCUCAUUUAUCUUAAUUAUAAUGCUACCAGGAUACCUUGAAGAAAUCUAGCAAAAACUGGUUGAGCAAGGAUUCUAGGGUCAGUGGCAUACAUCCAAAUUCGGCACAGUACAACACCCAAAUCUGUAAGAGAUAUGAUACUGAAAUUACCAUGGAAACAGAAAACAUUUAGAGCAGAUCUUUGAUCCUUGAGAUAGACAGACAGACAGACAGACAGACAGAUAUAAAAUAUAAACCCUAUAUACUGAUAUACAUUGGUUCUCAACCCAGAUGUUUUGGCCUUCAACACCCAGAAAUCCUAACAGCUGGUAAACUGGUUGUGAUUUCUGGGAGUUGUAGGCCAAAAACAUCUGGGGACCCACAGGUUGAGAACCACUGGUCUAGACAUUUCGGUCAAAAAAAUCAACCCAAACCCUGGGUAAACAGUAGAAGGGCCAAUACUUAUAUUUAUGUGGCAAUAAGGGACUUACUUCAAGAAAAGUGAUGGACUAAAGCCAUAAGAUGAACAAAGAGGCAUUAAGACAAUGGCAACGAGAUUGCCAAUAAAUGAGUGGAGAAAUAUACAGACUCACAGAAGAGAAGAGACCAUUUGCUUUAAGUUAUGCAAAGUUUACACUUCAUCUACUUGACUCAAGCCGCGUUAUCUCUUGAAGGCAAGGAAGCAGUGAUAACAUAGGAACAGUUCUGCGCUCUUAUUCCUACAGUUUCUUGUUUUGUUUUUCUGCCAGCUGACAUUCAAAAACAAGAUGCCAGUGCCCACACUUGCAUAGCCAGUGGCUCUAAGGAAUGGAAGCAACGAGGGAAGAGUAAAUUAUUACAUAAAAUAAAGGUUAAUGUUCAAAAAGGGAGCAUCGCUCCAAGCCAAAGCUAUAGCAAUCACAACUGUGUGCAUGUAUGAUUUAUUUGUAAAUGUUCCUCUUUUAAACUAACAGCCGAAUCCUUCGCAGCAAUAAGAUGUCUCCCACAUUCAAGUCGUUUUUUAAAGCCCAACAUUUAAUUAUGAAUUCAGCACCUGCACUUAAUGAUGAUUAGUAGCAUCAUGAUGAGACUCUAAAACUGUGAUUCAUCAAUGAGCAUUUAGAAUUGAAUAAAU